GGAUGGGUAGGGGAGCGUCGUGUGCCGGGUGAAGCCGCGCCGGAAGGCAGUGGUGGACGGUUCACGAGUGAGAAUGCAGGCAUGAGUAGCGAUACACACGUGAGAAACGUGUGCGCCGAUUGACUAAGGGUUCCUGGGUCAAGCUGAUCUGCCCAGGGUAAGUCGGGACCUAAGGCGAGGCCGACAGGCGUAGUCGAUGGAUAACCGGUUGAUAUUCCGGUACCCGCUGUGAAGCGUCAAACAUCGAGCCCAUUAAUGCUAAGGCCGUGAAGCCGCCCUGGAGCCUUCGGGCAAAGGGGAGUGGUGGAGCCGCUGACCCAAGGUGGUAGUAGGUGAGUGAUGGGGUGACGCAGGAAGGUAGUCCAUCCCGGGCGGUGGUUGUCCCGGGGUAAGGGUGUAGGCCGUGCGAUAGGUAAAUCCGUCGCGCAUUAAGGCUGAGACCUGAUGCCGAGCCGAUUGUGGUGAAGUGGAUGAUCCUAUGCUGUCGAGAAAAGCCUCUAGCGAGUUUCAUGGCGGCCCGUACCCUAAACCGACUCAGGUGGUCAGGUAGAGAAUACCGAGGCGUUCGGGUGAACUAUGGUUAAGGAACUCGGCAAAAUGCCCCCGUAACUUCGGGAGAAGGGGGGCCAUCACUGGUGAUCCAAUUUACUUGGUGAGCUGGGGGUGGCCGCAGAGACCAGCGAGAAGCGACUGUUUACUAAAAACACAGGUCCGUGCGAAGCCGUAAGGCGAUGUAUACGGACUGACGCCUGCCCGGUGCUGGAACGUUAAGGGGACCGGUUAGUCAAACUUCGGUUUGGCGAAGCUGAGAACUUAAGCGCCAGUAAACGGCGGUGGUAACUAUAACCAUCCUAAGGUAGCGAAAUUCCUUGUCGGGUAAGUUCCGACCUGCACGAAUGGCGUAACGACUUCUCGACUGUCUCAACCAUAGGCCCGGUGAAAUUGCACUACGAGUAAAGAUGCUCGUUUCGCGCAGCAGGACGGAAAGACCCCGGGACCUUUACUACAGUUUGAUAUUGGUGUUCGGUUCGGCUUGUGUAGGAUAGCUGGGAGACUUUGAAGCCCGCACGCCAGUGUGGGUGGAGUCGUCGUUGAAAUACCAGUCUGGUCGUGCUGGAUGUCUAACCUGGGUCCGUGAUCCGGAUCAGGGACAGUGUCUGAUGGGUAGUUUAACUGGGGCGGUUGCCUCCUAAAGAGUAACGGAGGCGCCCAAAGGUUCCCUCAGCCUGGUUGGCAAUCAGGUGUUGAGUGUAAGUGCACAAGGGAGCUUGACUGUGAGACCGACGGGUCGAGCAGGGACGAAAGUCGGGACUAGUGAUCCGGCGGUGGCUUGUGGAAGCGCCGUCGCUCAACGGAUAAAAGGUACCCCGGGGAUAACAGGCUGAUCUUCCCCAAGAGUCCAUAUCGACGGGAUGGUUUGGCACCUCGAUGUCGGCUCGUCGCAUCCUGGGGCUGGAGUCGGUCCCAAGGGUUGGGCUGUUCGCCCAUUAAAGCGGUACGCGAGCUGGGUUUAGAACGUCGUGAGACAGUUCGGUCCCUAUCCGCUGCGCGCGCAGGAAUAUUGAGAAGGGCUGUCCCUAGUACGAGAGGACCGGGACGGACGAACCUCUGGUGUGCCAGUUGUCCUGCCAAGGGCAUGGCUGGUUGGCUACGUUCGGGAGGGAUAACCGCUGAAAGCAUCUAAGCGGGAAGCCUGCUUCGAGAUGAGUAUUCCCACCUCCUUGAGAGGGUAAGGCUCCCAGUAGACGACUGGGUUGAUAGGCCAGAUCUGGAAGGCGGGUAACCGCUGGAGGUGACUGGUACUAAUAGGCCGAGGGCUUGUCCUCAGUUG
Molecule: ribosomal RNA, 1831 nt
Filed under: Streptomyces avermitilis
Lineage: Bacteria; Bacillati; Actinomycetota; Actinomycetes; Kitasatosporales; Streptomycetaceae
Description: bacterial LSU rRNA
Rfam family: Bacterial large subunit ribosomal RNA
Source: RNAcentral